AAAUUGAAGAGUUUGAUCAUGGCUCAGAUUGAACGCUGGCGGCAGGCCUAACACAUGCAAGUCGAACGGUAGCACAGAGAGCUUGCUCUUGGGUGACGAGUGGCGGACGGGUGAGUAAUGUCUGGGAAACUGCCCGAUGGAGGGGGAUAACUACUGGAAACGGUAGCUAAUACCGCAUAACGUCGCAAGACCAAAGUGGGGGACCUUCGGGCCUCACACCAUCGGAUGUGCCCAGAUGGGAUUAGCUAGUAGGUGGGGUAACGGCUCACCUAGGCGACGAUCCCUAGCUGGUCUGAGAGGAUGACCAGCCACACUGGAACUGAGACACGGUCCAGACUCCUACGGGAGGCAGCAGUGGGGAAUAUUGCACAAUGGGCGCAAGCCUGAUGCAGCCAUGCCGCGUGUAUGAAGAAGGCCUUCGGGUUGUAAAGUACUUUCAGCGAGGAGGAAGGCGUUGUGGUUAAUAACCGCAGCGAUUGACGUUACUCGCAGAAGAAGCACCGGCUAACUCCGUGCCAGCAGCCGCGGUAAUACGGAGGGUGCAAGCGUUAAUCGGAAUUACUGGGCGUAAAGCGCACGCAGGCGGUUUGUUAAGUCAGAUGUGAAAUCCCCGGGCUCAACCUGGGAACUGCAUUUGAAACUGGCAAGCUUGAGUCUCGUAGAGGGGGUAGAAUUCCAGGUGUAGCGGUGAAAUGCGUAGAGAUCUGGAGGAAUACCGGUGGCGAAGGCGGCCCCCUGGACGAAGACUGACGCUCAGGUGCGAAAGCGUGGGGAGCAAACAGGAUUAGAUACCCUGGUAGUCCACGCCGUAAACGAUGUCUAUUUGGAGGUUGUGCCCUUGAGGCGUGGCUUCCGGAGCUAACGCGUUAAAUAGACCGCCUGGGGAGUACGGCCGCAAGGUUAAAACUCAAAUGAAUUGACGGGGGCCCGCACAAGCGGUGGAGCAUGUGGUUUAAUUCGAUGCAACGCGAAGAACCUUACCUACUCUUGACAUCCAGAGAACUUAGCAGAGAUGCUUUGGUGCCUUCGGGAACUCUGAGACAGGUGCUGCAUGGCUGUCGUCAGCUCGUGUUGUGAAAUGUUGGGUUAAGUCCCGCAACGAGCGCAACCCUUAUCCUUUGUUGCCAGCGGUUAGGCCGGGAACUCAAAGGAGACUGCCAGUGAUAAACUGGAGGAAGGUGGGGAUGACGUCAAGUCAUCAUGGCCCUUACGAGUAGGGCUACACACGUGCUACAAUGGCAUAUACAAAGAGAAGCGACCUCGCGAGAGCAAGCGGACCUCAUAAAGUAUGUCGUAGUCCGGAUUGGAGUCUGCAACUCGACUCCAUGAAGUCGGAAUCGCUAGUAAUCGUAGAUCAGAAUGCUACGGUGAAUACGUUCCCGGGCCUUGUACACACCGCCCGUCACACCAUGGGAGUGGGUUGCAAAAGAAGUAGGUAGCUUAACCUUCGGGAGGGCGCUUACCACUUUGUGAUUCAUGACUGGGGUGAAGUCGUAACAAGGUAACCGUAGGGGAACCUGCGGUUGGAUCACCUCCUUA
This 1539-nucleotide ribosomal RNA is filed under the name Kluyvera sp. CRP. Its description in RNAcentral is "bacterial SSU rRNA". It matches the Rfam family "Bacterial small subunit ribosomal RNA". The record is from RNAcentral. Lineage: Bacteria; Pseudomonadati; Pseudomonadota; Gammaproteobacteria; Enterobacterales; Enterobacteriaceae.